Molecule: ribosomal RNA, 1106 nt
Filed under: Salmonella enterica subsp. houtenae str. ATCC BAA-1581
Lineage: Bacteria; Pseudomonadati; Pseudomonadota; Gammaproteobacteria; Enterobacterales; Enterobacteriaceae
Description: bacterial LSU rRNA
Rfam family: Bacterial large subunit ribosomal RNA
Source: RNAcentral
GCAAACACGAAAGUGGACGUAUACGGUGUGACGCCUGCCCGGUGCCGGAAGGUUAAUUGAUGGGGUCAGCGCAAGCGAAGCUCCUGAUCGAAGCCCCGGUAAACGGCGGCCGUAACUAUAACGGUCCUAAGGUAGCGAAAUUCCUUGUCGGGUAAGUUCCGACCUGCACGAAUGGCGUAAUGAUGGCCAGGCUGUCUCCACCCGGGACUCAGUGAAAUUGAACUCGCUGUGAAGAUGCAGUGUACCCGCGGCAAGACGGAAAGACCCCGUGAACCUUUACUAUAGCUUGACACUGAACACUGGUCCUUGAUGUGCAGGAUAGGUGGGAGGCUUUGAAGUGUGGACGCCAGUCUGCAUGGAGCCAUCCUUGAAAUACCACCCUUUAAUGGCUGGUGUUCUAACGUGGGCCCGUGAACCGGGUUGCGGACAGUGUCUGGUGGGUAGUUUGACUGGGGCGGUCUCCUCCUAAAGAGUAACGGAGGAGCACGAAGGUUGGCUAAUCCUGGUCGGACAUCAGGAGGUUAGUGCAAUGGCAUAAGCCAGCUUGACUGCGAGCGUGACGGCGCGAGCAGGUGCGAAAGCAGGUCAUAGUGAUCCGGUGGUUCUGAAUGGAAGGGCCAUCGCUCAACGGAUAAAAGGUACUCCGGGGAUAACAGGCUGAUACCGCCCAAGAGUUCAUAUCGACGGCGGUGUUUGGCACCUCGAUGUCGGCUCAUCACAUCCUGGGGCUGAAGUAGGUCCCAAGGGUAUGGCUGUUCGCCAUUUAAAGUGGUACGCGAGCUGGGUUUAGAACGUCGUGAGACAGUUCGGUCCCUAUCUGCCGUGGGCGCUGGAAGAUUGAGGGGGGCUGCUCCUAGUACGAGAGGACCGGAGUGGACGCAUCACUGGUGUUCGGGUUGUCAUGCCAAUGGCACUGCCCGGUAGCUACAUGCGGAAGAGAUAAGUGCUGAAAGCAUCUAAGCACGAAACUUGCCCCGAGAUGAAUCUUCCCUGAGCCUUUAAGGCUCCUGAAGGAACGUUGAAGACGACGACGUUGAUAGGCCGGGUGUGUAAGCGCAGCGAUGCGUUGAGCUAACCGGUACUAAUGAACCGUGAGGCUUAACCUU